Molecule: transfer RNA, 72 nt
Filed under: Beta vulgaris subsp. vulgaris (sugar beet)
Lineage: Eukaryota; Viridiplantae; Streptophyta; Magnoliopsida; Caryophyllales; Amaranthaceae
Rfam family: tRNA
About the family: Transfer RNA (tRNA) molecules are approximately 80 nucleotides in length.
Source: Rfam by way of RNAcentral
ACAUUCGUCGUCUAAUGGCAAGACGGUUCUCUUCAACAGAAUACGAUACUGGUUCAACUCCAGUCGAAUGCU